RNAcentral lists this long non-coding RNA (8647 nucleotides) under Brassica napus (rape). Its description in RNAcentral is "long non-coding RNA (BNAP_LNC020356)". Lineage: Eukaryota; Viridiplantae; Streptophyta; Magnoliopsida; Brassicales; Brassicaceae. The record is from RNAcentral.
UUUAAUCGGGAGUUAGUUCAUAAAAGUUGGCACCUGGUUCAUUAAAACGGGAAAAGCUGGAUUAAAGAUUAUGGUAGUCUCUUAGAAACUAAUAAAUUACAGUUGGAAACAAAGUACAUGUCUAGUAACUUGCUCUAAUGUAGAUGAAGGCUUGUCCUUCUUCCCAUUCAAAGCAAUCAGAACAACAUUGGAAACCCUGUAUUGUGUUCCAGAACAUACAAAAGAUUAUAAAUGUAAUUAUUUGUCAAAGAUAGAUCAAACUAUUCGACAGCCAAAAAAACUGUAGCAAUAGGUAAUAUGGUGGACUAUAGAAAGAAACUAUACCUUUGGUGAGAGAAUCAACAACUCCAUCGGACUCUAUAUACUUCAUGGAAGCUUCUUCUUUUUUACUUCUUUCUCCUGAUUCAGACAGAUCCAAAAACAGUUCAAAAUCUAUUAAAGAAGUUGCAGAUAAUGGGGCAUCCUUACAUCUAGUGAGGAAACAACAAUGAAAACAGUCAAAAGAGAAAAAAGGAAAAAAAAACAGAUUUCAUAACUCUUUAAAACUACAUUUAGGUUAGUUUUCUUUAUUUCUUUCAGGAAAGGAUCAAAAGUUACAUACCUCUUUGAAAUGCUUUAUCUCCUUGUUCCAAAAUAUACAAAAAGCUUCGAUUUCUGCAACAACUGAUUCUAUGAAACUCCACAUUAAAAUUGAAAUACAAUUUGUUACAACAUAAAAUAAGCCUCAUCUCAGCUUAUUGACAACAUAUGACUUUCGUACAUGUUUAGACUAUUAGGAGCAAUGAACCCUGGUUCAUUUGACUUGCCGGAGGAUUUCGUAGUUCUGGAAGCCAUUGGUUGCUGUGUUUAUGUGGAAUUGGUGAAUAACGUGAAGGAGAGAGAAUGAAGAUGAAGGUUUAUAUAUAUAAGGGCAGACAAUGUGGGAAUGUAAACAGUUGCAUCCCUGUCGCUUGCUUCUUUAAACAAUGGGCCUUUAAGACAAAAAAAAAUGUGAGAGGAUGAAGUGUCGAAGGAGUACCGGAAGAGUUAGAAACAGCUGUGUAAUCCUAAAGUGAUCGAGGAAGGUGAAGAGUGGGAGGAUAGAUUCGUUGAAUUCAGUCUUGAGCUAUAUUAUUGGGCUAAAGAGAAAAUAACAUGUUUUAAGUCCGGACCGUGAUGACAUGGCAAAAUGAUUGGUGUGGAAUAUUUUUGUCUACGUGGCAUCCCUCUUUGGCCUUUAUUUUAGUUCCUUUUAUUUAUAGUAGAUGUAAUAAGGAUAAAACAAAAAAAAAUAGUUUUCUUAAUUUAUGUGCAAAAAUUUUAAACAACACUUAUUAUGAAACAAAGAAAAUCUUAAGAUAAAAAAUCCAAUAUCAGAAACAUUAAUGGCCAAAUUUUAGAGAACAUUUAUUCAAAAAGAAAAAUUUUAGAGAACAAAUUACAAUGAAUUCAUUGUUCAUCAAAAUUUACACAGUUUUUUUUUUCAAGUUAUUUAGACAUAGGUCUUCCCUGUUCCUUUCAUUUCCUCAUAUUUAAAGGAAUUUAUAAAUAAUUAUUUUCGCUUCCGAUUUUGAAGAAAACCAAAUGAAACAAAAAAAAAUUAUUUUUAAUAUAUAUAUUUUUGAUUCUUCAAAUUAUCUACUAUAUUAAAUAGAACCAUUAAAAUUUUAAUGAACAAAAGUUAUUGUUGGACCAUAAAGUAUAAAAAUCUGCUAUAUUUGUGUAAACAUUUAUAUUUUAUCCUAACUAAGAUAUUAUUGUUUGGAAAAUACUAUUGUUGAAAAGUUAUAGCAAUUAUAUAUAUAUAUAUAUAAGUAUUUAAAAUAAAUAAUUGAUUAACUAAUCUUAUUCUCAAGUGGAUUCUCAUGUCACUAUGAAUUCCAAAUUAUUAACUUAAAUAAUCCUAUUCCGAAAAAAAAAUACUCAAAUAAUAUAAAAUCAUUAUCGUAACAAAAUGUAUAGAUAAUUUGAAUGUUUUACCAACGUUGAGUUGGCGUAGUGGUAAAAAGAUAGUGUCUAUAACUAUUGCUACGUGGGUUUAAUUCACGUUAAGAAAGACUAUUUAUAAUGCUUUUGUUCUAGGCAAAGAGGUGAAACCAUUUUUUGUAGACCAAAAAAAUAUUUGAAUAUUUUAAAAAUAAUAACCAAACAAAUUUGUAAUUCAAUAUGUACUACCGUCAAAAAAUUGGAUGAUAUUUCACCAUUUAACGUUUUGCCAAGUUUCCUUUUCAUCAUCGUUCAAAUUCUUUGAUUUAUCAACCUUAAUGCAUUCACACAGACAAAGACAGCAAAGGUACCGUAAAUUUUUUUGCCUGGUUAGACAUCUACACCCGAACCAAAACAAAGGCAUGCGACUUUGGUUAGCCAAAGUAUUUGGUAUUUUGGAUUAGUUCAGUAAAAUGGUUUGUCUAAUCUUGGUUAAUGUAAAAUUGAUUACUUUUCUUAUAAGACAGUUUAAUUUUGAUAUAAGCCGAUCUUAGUUUUGAUAUAAUCUGGUUAUUUAAAAUAUUUGUUGCAGAAACUGAUCGGUUAACCUGAAUGGAACCAACAUUCUCGGGUAAAUGAACCCAAAUGAAAUUUCUGCCGAUAUGUUCAGUUGAGAGAGAACCAAUACCAAACCCGAAACUGAAAAAACUGGUUCGGUUACUUUCAGGCCAAAUUCGCAGGCGUAACAUAACUGGUUCGGUUAUUUUGGACAUCCUCCACAGAAUAAAGAACAAAUUUACAGUUUCGGAGUUUUGAGUUUUAUAUGAUUUUCUUUUUACAUUUCCUUUUUAGUUUAGUUUAAGGUGUUUUUUGUAGGUUUAUUAUUUUCUGUGUUAUGGCCAGUAAAAAUAUUUUUUUAUGAUCAAUAAAGAAUCAACUAGAUGUGAAAAAGAAACUAGAGAUAAAAGGAAAUUUCUUUCUAUUAUCAUGUGAUUAAUCACUGCUCCAUUCACAAGUUCUAAGAGCAUCUCCAAUGAGAUAUAUCUCCAAUGGUGAUAUCCCAUUGGAGUCCUUAGAAAAAGUUUUUUUGAUUUUUUAAUUAUUUUUUUUUUCAGAUAAAAAAAAAGAAAUAUCAACCAAUCGCGGACUGCAACAUGUUGUGGGGGCCCACAAAUAAUGCAAGGAUUCACUAAGAAAUAGUCAUUAUUUAGAGAUUUUAAUGAUUGAAUCCUUAGUUUUUGGUAGGGUCUAUUGAUUAUUUAAUUAUUUUUUUACUAAAAAAUCCCCUUAAAGAUUGCUGCUGCGGAUGCUCUAAGGUAAAAAAAAAUGCAGACUCAUAUCAUAUAUCAACCAACAAGGAUUCAACCUUUAGCAAAGCUGUUUUUUCAUUAUAUAAGUGUUCCCGGGCAUUACUUACUAGGUUCUUACAGGACGGAUUUCAAUUCCUUGAAUGAUCAAGCCACUCUUCCAAUGGCCAAGCUUGGUCUCUAAAGCACUCAUCUCAAUUUCAUCACUAUUCAUUAUAUCUCCUCCACUGAAGAAUUCCCCAAGCUCUAUCUCCAUCCACCCAUCUCUUCUUUCAUGUGGCCUCCUUCGCCUCCUCCUCAAAGACAGCCCAUCCACUCGCGCAUCAAAGUAUAUGAAUCUUGUAGAAGCUUCAUUCCCCACCACUCCAACUCCAGCUUCUAUAGCCACAUCCUCAAAGCUGUUACAAUGAUUUACCUUCUUAAACACAAUGUAAGCCGAGUAACGUGUUCUUGGAGAUAGGACACGAGUCUUCGUCCUGCCUCUAAUCUCAAACCAACAUAAAUCAAGAAGCUUCGCAACUCUUUUAAACCUGCAAACACACACACACCACCAAGUUUUUUUUUUAAUCAGGCAUCAUCAUUCAUCAUCCGAACUAUUUAAUUACAAACUUGAUUAACGAGAUUAUUACCUAGCUUCAGGAAAUGUAAUCCAUUCCCAAUACUGUGGAGUAUCUCCCCACAUGAUUGAGAUGUUCAUCGCAGAUAACAUGAUACACUUCUUUCCACUGGCUUUGUCUAACCAAAAGCUCUUUUAUUUCCCAGAAGAAAAAAAAACAGAAUUAUUCAAUAGCAACAGCUGAAACAAGCUUUGUUUUAUAGGCCAUAAUUCUCUAACAGAUCAUUUAUUCUCAAAAUCAUAUAAAAAGGUCCAAGACCGAUAUAUACAUUUACUAUACCUUUGUACCAUCGUCGAUAAGAACAGGGUCCUCGCAAAACGCGAAGUAUAGCUCCUUCUUGGAUGAGAAAUGACGCGAUGAAGGAACAAGGGAUUCAUACUGGGGCGGAAGAAACUUCUCCCAUACAACAUGUCAACAUCUGACUUCGCCGCAGAUUCAAAGGCUUUAGAAACAGUAGCGACGACGCACGCAUCACGUGGACUUGUGCAGGAGACUAUCUUGCAGAUGCAAUCCUCCGGAAAGGAAUCGAACGGCGACGAAUCCGAACCGAUCUCUCGUCUGCGUUUGCCGUGAUUUUCACUCAUCCUCGUCGUCUAGUCUAGAGAGAGAGAGAGAGAGAUUCCUCUUGACUUAUCUAACACUUUUUCCGACAUAUUUACGACAAAACACUUAUCCGCGUCGACGUGGAAGUUUCGGAGAAAUUCAUAAUUAACAAGGUUGACGUCACGAUUGUAAUAAAAGUCAACAAAGAAGAGCUGCUACUGAUCAAAACACACACUCUUUUUUCUUUUAUCAACAAAAGUGUUCAUGUGACCGAGGAUGAUGAAUCUAAAUGCUGUAUCAUCCACAAAAUUUGAGUCCUAUUACGUAGCAUUGGUCUAACUAUACUAAACCCCAAUUGGGCAUACAAAUCCGAUUACAAACCUGAAUCCGAUUACAGUGGUCUAAUUGGAUGGACAUUUUGACUCAAACCAAAAAGUCCCGUAAUAUCGAACCGCGCUUCCAAACCCGGUAUACAUAUAUAGCGCAAAGUUGUUGUUUACGGAAAUUCAAAGUUACAAGUUACAACUUGAAUUUCCUUCUUCAAUCAAACGCAUAACCAAUCAAUACAUAAUCGGUUUGACCGGGUUAAGAAAAUCAACCAACUGUUUCACCGCGCUUUACAACCUUUGGGCCACGAGAAACAAGCAAUAGCCCGUUAAGCAUUAAAACCCAAAAUAUUGAAAUCGUUAAGCCCGUCUCCAUGCCCAGCUAUGCUCAGCAACGGCUCCUGUGCAAUAAGACAAAACCAGCCAGAGCAAGCCUCUAUGAUAUGAUCAUUAUUUUUGACAAGGGAGAAGGUAUAUCAAUGAUUAUGCCUAGUGUUUUAGAAUGUAUGUGUGUUUUCUUUUUGGUGAAACCUAGCGAUGCCGUAUAUACUAAAAUGCCCCUGAUUAGGCGCGUCUCAUUCACACUCCUGUUUCUGAGUCAAUAAUACAAUCUGAUGAUUCGUUGGUUAGUUUUGGAUUUGGUUUGGAAAUUUCCAUUUAUUUUUUGUUCAAAGGUUUGGAAUAAUUCUUAGCUAAAACAAACCAAAUUAUAAAAAAAGUAGGUCAAGUCAGGUAGGCAAAUUGUGGAUCAACGGUGUCAAAAACGCAAAAAAUAUGUUAUCAAUUUCAUUUUUAUAAUAUAGUCUGACUAGAUAUUCCAGAAGGCUAUCAAAUUAGAAAAAUAGAUAAAGUCAUAAAACUGAAAAAAGGAGUAGAUGCGCUUUCUCAUUUUCAUUUGAAUUUCCGUAACAGAAAUAAAAAAAAAUAUAAAACUCAAAUCACGCUUUUCUUGUUGAAAGCAAACAAACCAACGACACUAAAGCCAGGCGUAAAUCCGCCGCAACCACCCCAGUUUCUCUCCGACGGCGUCGGAGCUUCCGUUACCGUAACGACGAAGCUUGACUAGCGCCGCCGUAGGCUGAUUCCGUGCUUCCUUUUGAAUCGAAUCUCUUCACAGGUUUGAUUUGUUAAACCCUAGCUCUACUUUCUAAACUUUUGUGAUUCUUUUCUAUUUUUUUUUUUGUUUGCGAUGAGAUUGAGAGAUCUAAGUGAUUCGACUACUGUAUGAUUGUUUGAUUUGAAAAUCGGAAAGUUACGAUGUUCGUCGUCGAGAUUCUUCCUCCUUGUAAUUUUAACUUUACUUGUUAGUUAUCGUUUUCCUUGUGUGUCUUCGAAGUUGCGAAGCUAAGCAUAUUGUAUCUGCAGGGUUUUGAUGUCAAAUCCACUGAAAGAGCCAAGAGAGGAUACCUCAGGCUCGGUUCGUCACAUGAGGGAAGAUAAUGAAUACGUUCGCCUUGUUGUUGGGACCCCCCAUGAACCUUCUCCUCCUGAAACCGUGUUAGUAUCGCAAUCAGAGAUCCGGACUAGAAACUUGAUCUGGUGGUUUAAAGCUUUGGGGAUUUGUGCACUUGCUCUCGUCCUCACUCUUGUCUUCGCCAAAUGGGGAGUUCCAUUUGUAUUCCAAAAGGUGCUUCCUUUUUUUUUCUCAAAUCUCAAGUUGAUUCCUUUCAAUAACGGUUUUAUCGAGUGUAAUGGUGUUAGUUUGAUUGUAGGUUUUGAUUCCGAUUCUACAAUGGGAAGCAACUGCUUUUGGCCGUCCUAUGCUCGCCAUCGUCCUUGUUGUUUCCUUGGCUUUGUUCCCUGUCUUCUUGAUCCCUUCUGGUCCUUCCAUGUGGCUAGCUGGCAUGAUUUUCGGUUAUGGUCUCGGUUUCGUUAUUAUCAUGGUUGGAACCACCGUUGGCAUGGUUCUUCCUUACUUAAUCGGCCUUAUGUUCCGUGAUCGCCUCCACGUAAGAACCCAACCCUUUCGUUUCUUGAUGACAAGUUCACUGUACUUAUGUUCUUUUUCAAAAAUGCAGCAAUGGUUGAAAAGGUGGCCUCGUCAAGCCGCUGUUCUUAGAUUAGCAGCAGAAGGAAGCUGGUUCCAUCAGUUCAGAGUCGUGGCAAUCUUUCGUGUUUCUCCAUUCCCUUACACCAUUUUCAACUACGCCAUCGUUGUGACAAGCAUGAGGUUCUGGCCUUACUUGUUCGGUUCCAUAGCAGGAAUGAUACCUGAAGCUUUCAUCUACAUUUACAGGUCACUCUCUCAUUCUCCUCAGUUUACUUCCUAGAAACUGCAACAUGCUUCUAAAGAAAAAAACGAAAAUUCAAAUGCAGCGGUCGAUUGAUCAGAACAUUCGCGGAUGUGCAAUACGGACAUCAACGUUUGACAACGGUAGAGAUAGUGUACAACGUAAUCUCCUUGAUCAUUGCGGUUGUGACGACUGUAGCUUUCACCGUGUACGCUAAAAGAGCUUUGAGAGAGCUUCAGAACGCAGAAGCCAACGAAGAUGAGGAAGUCCAGGUUAGAAAGCCAGGGAGAUUGGAGAUGAAGAACGUUGAAGAUAAUCAUAGGCGUUUGGGUUCUUCUCAUGCAUUGCCCUAACUCUCAGGGAAGAUAUAAGAACUAGAUUUGUAUAAAGGUUAAGGUUGGUUGGUUAUUCAGCAGGGCAGGACAGGAGUAAGAGUAAAUAACCAAAAAAAAGGGAAUGAAUAUCAAAAUAUGCAGUCUGAUGUAGUAAACCAGGAAGACUAAUCAAAGGUUAAUAAUAGUGUUGCUGAUUUCACUUGUUGAAAUAGAUAAGAAGCAGUCACUUUAUUUGUUUUUUUAAAUCAAAUUGAAUAUUGUGGAUUACAAAAAAUUCUAUAUUGGCAUAAAGUUUUGGAUAAUUUUGAUUCUUCAUGGAUGCCCUUAAUCCGAACAAAAAUAUCGUGAAAUAAUUUUGUUUGGUAAUGUAUCUUUGAAAUGUUUGAGAUUAAAUUUAUUUAUUAAAACAUUAAUAUACAAUUCUGGGCCUACAGUUGGAGUAUUCUCCCCGUUAAAAGUCUUCUCCAGCGACGAUUACCUUAAAACUCUUUUUGAUUGGUUUAUUUUUUGUAACAAAUUAAUUUCCAGUGUCGUCUCCGAAUUCUCCACAUCUUCUGUGUACUACUAAAGACAAUACACAAUCAUCGACUGUGAAGAAACCAUUUACUGAACAUGGUUAAGUCUCUUCUGCUCUUCAUAAUACUCCUCCCCCAUGGUCAAAAAUCAGACUGAUUGAUGGUUUAACUCAUAAAUAUAUUUGUUUAUUUUGAUGGAUGAUCAGGCGAAUUUGGGAGAAGAGAAGAAGGAGAAGCUGAAGCUCUACUCUUACUGGAGAAGCUCCUGCGCUCAUCGUGUCCGUAUCGCCCUCUCUCUUAAAGGUCUUGCUAAUAUUGGUUGAUUUUUCUACUCUUUUUCUUCUUUUGUUUUCUUCUCUCAUCUGAAUUGGAUCUGUGUUUAGGUCUUGAAUAUGACUACAUACCUGUGAAUCUGCUCAAGGGUGAACAGUCCGAUCCAGGUACCUACUUUCCUUGCUUUGAUAAGCUCUGAUUGAACAAAAAUAAAUAAAUAUAUAUACAUGAGUCAUUUACAACUGAUAAUUGGUUUGUUUAAAAAGUUUUAUUACCGUUUUGAUUCUCUAGAUUUCAAGAAGAUCAAUCCAAUGGGUACUGUACCUGCUCUUGUUGAUGGAGAUGUUGUCAUAUCCGAUUCUCUUGCUAUCGUAAUGGUCAGUAUAACUAACUAACACCCAUUGUGUGUUUUUUUUUCUGGAUUCAAAGGAACAUUUCAGCCAUCUUUGUUUUUUUUGUGUGUGUUUGACAGUAUCUGGAUGAGAAGUAUCCUGAGCCACCUCUCUUACCUCCUGACCUCCACAAACGUGCUGUCAAUUUCCAGGUACUCUGCAAUCUGUUACUUUCUGUCAACUCUUUAACUUUCUUUUUUUUU